CCUACGGGAGGCAGCAGUAGGGAAUAUUGGGCAAUGGACGAGAGUCUGACCCAGCCAUGCCGCGUGCAGGAAGAAGGCUUUCUGAGUCGUAAACUGCUUUUGACAGGGAAGAAUAAGCACUACGUGUAGUGUGAUGACGGUACCUGCAGAAUAAGCACCGGCUAACUCCGUGCCAGCAGCCGCGGUAAUACGGAGGGUGCGAGCGUUGUCCGGAUUUAUUGGGUUUAAAGGGUGCGUAGGCGGCCUUUUAAGUCCGGGGUGAAAGCCCGUUGCUUAACAACGGAACUGCCCUGGAUACUGAGAGGCUUGAGUACAGACGAGGUUGGCGGAAUGGACCGAGUAGCGGUGAAAUGCAUAGAUACGGUCCAGAACCCCGAUUGCGAAGGCAGCUGACUAGGCUGUUACUGACGCUGAGGCACGACAGCGUGGGGAGCGAACAGGAUUAGAUACCCUGGUAGUCCACGCCGUAAACGAUGGAUACUCGCUGCGNGCUAAGAUGUCGUGCGUAGGUAACGAGUAGUAUCCGACCGUGGGAGGACGCCGGCGACGUAGUUAACGUUAAAGUAAGUUAGUUACGGCGUUGAGACGNGCCGACGGACGACGACGAGGGAGGAGG
This 616-nucleotide ribosomal RNA is filed under the name uncultured bacterium. Its description in RNAcentral is "bacterial SSU rRNA". The stretch from base 1 to 529 matches the Rfam family "Bacterial small subunit ribosomal RNA", at positions 338 to 873 of the family's 1533-position model. The record is from RNAcentral.